This 204-nucleotide long non-coding RNA is filed under the name Elaeis guineensis (African oil palm). RNAcentral describes it as "long non-coding RNA (EGUI_LNC021768)". The record is from RNAcentral. Lineage: Eukaryota; Viridiplantae; Streptophyta; Magnoliopsida; Arecales; Arecaceae.
GGGUACGAGACAGGAGACUCGAGAGGAUGAGAUGCGACGUCGCAAGAUGAGAUUCCUAUUGCCGUAGGAUGAUGCCCCGAGCAGGUCUCAGGUUAGGAGGAGCACAGCAUACGAUGGAGAUGGGAUCGAGCAGUCUGGCUCAACUUCUAUAUUUGCCCAUCCAUGAUUAGCAGGCGAUUGCCCCAGGAUAUGGGGGUGAGGAGA